GACGAACGCUGGCGGCGUGCUUAACACAUGCAAGUCGAACGGUAAGGCCCCUUCGGGGGUACACGAGUGGCGAACGGGUGAGUAACACGUGAGCAACCUGCCCUUGACUCUGGAAUAACAGUUGGAAACAGCUGCUAAUACUGGAUAUUCAUCGUCUCCUUCCUGGGGGGUGGUGGAAAGCUCCGGCGGUCAGGGAUGGGCUCGCGGUCUAUCAGCUUGUUGGUGAGGUAAUGGCUCACCAAGGCUUCGACGGGUAGCCGGCCUGAGAGGGCGACCGGCCACACUGGGACUGAGAUACGGCCCAGACUCCUACGGGAGGCAGCAGUGGGGAAUAUUGCACAAUGGGCGCAAGCCUGAUGCAGCAACGCCGCGUGCGGGAUGACGGCCUUCGGGUUGUAAACCGCUUUCAGUAGGGACGAAGGGUGACUGACGGUACCUACAGAAGAAGGACCGGCUAACUACGUG
Molecule: ribosomal RNA, 465 nt
Filed under: uncultured bacterium
Lineage: Bacteria
Description: partial 16S ribosomal RNA
Rfam family: Bacterial small subunit ribosomal RNA
Source: RNAcentral